AUUUUGUCUAUGUUAUUAUAUAGUUUACGUUAAAUUUAUUUCCCUACAAUAAUAAAAUAGGGGACUUCAUUUUCACAGUUAAUGCCACUGUUCAUAAGCACUGUUUUAUUGGCACACAAAAAAUAUCAGGUCUUCCCUUUUAUUUUAGCAGACGCCGUGCAUCUCUUAAUUUUCCUGUCAGUUUUUCUCCAAUUCUCCACGCCAUGCCCAUGCCUCUUGCUUCAAGGACCAUGCUUCUUUCUUGCCUCUGAAACCUUGACAAAUUACACACAAAUUCUCACUCCUCUCUGACUUUCUCUUUUCAUUUCCUCUCUAUAGUUUCCUCUCUGUAGUUGACCAAUGCCAUUGAUCUGAUCAUUUCUUCUCUCUUAUUUUCCUUUUUUUUAUUUUCUUUAUCUACAAUUGACAAAAACCCUCUAUUAUUUGACGCUAGUUUCUUGGAAUCGGAUCAUAUCCAGUAGUUUAAUCGAGGGUAUGUUGGUUCGAUUUUACUAUGUGGUUCCAAUUUUGCAAGAUCUUCUCUCUUUUUUUCAUUGCUUUCUUCAAAGUUUUAACCCUCUAUUUUUUUUUCUUUUGCAAGAGUUUGAAAUUAUCAUCGUAGAUCAAUCGAAAGAAUUGUUGAGAAAAAUUCCUUGGGUAAGUAAAUGUAGAUCUUUGCUGUAAAUCGAAGGUAUGUUUGUUCGAUUUCACUGUGUGGUUUUAGGUUCGAAAGAUUUUUUUUUUUUUGCUGCACAGUUCGCUUUUUCUUCCCUGAAAUUCGAAGCUAAAUUUGUUUUUUGUUUGUCUAAGCCUCCGUUUGACCCCCAUUAUUUCUCAUUAAAUUAAAUUAAAUUUUUCUCUUUCCUAUUUUUAACCACACAAUCUUUAAUAAAAUAAUAUUACACGUAAACCAAAAACUUUUCUUUUCUUUUCAACCACUCAUUUUUCAAAAAAAUACUAUUCAAAACAUUAUAAUUUCUAAGUAAUGGGUCUCAAACAAGGGCUAAUAUGGAUUUGGCUUAGUGCAUGUGUGAUUUGGUUGCCUUCCUUUGUCUGCCAUGUCUCACAUAUCACCUUCGACCGCUUCAAUGGCAUCCUUAUACAUAGUGAUGGCAAUGGGCUCGGCCCUUUAACCCACGAGCUCGAUUCGGUCUUGUGGCUCGUGAAAGUCCAUCCGAGCCAAGCCACUCGCGAGCUCGUGAUUUUUUUAAUUUUUUUUUUUGAAAAAUUUGCACAUUUUGGACAUUUUUUUUAAAAAAAAAAUUCUUGACGAGCCAAACAGACUCUGCUCGUGGGAUUGAUCCCCUGCUCGGCUCGGGCUCGGGCUCGUCGAGCCACCCAUGAGCCGCUCAGCCCAUUUGACAUCCCUACUUAUACAUUUCAUUGAGAUUUGGACAGACGUCCCCCGAACACCCCAUAGCAUUAGGUUUCACCAUUUCAUAUGUUUUCCCUUUUCUUUUGCUAUAUUUAGAGGUUGGGGUUUUGGUUAAAUCUAGAAUGCAUUGUAUUUCUGUGGAAUUCAGAGCUAUAGUUAUUGAUUGAUAUACUUUAAAACAGACUUUGUUUUUCAUUUGUCAAAUGUGGAUUUGGCUUUAUGCAUGUGCAGUUCGGUUGCAUUCAUUUGUCUGCCAUGUCUCAUAUACCACCUUCGAGCGUUUCAAUGACAUCCUUAUACUUUUGGUCGAGCUCGGGACAUACAUCCCCCGAACACCCCCUACCAUUAGGCUUCACUAUUUCUUUAUGUUUUCCUCUUUCUUCUGCUAUUCAGAGGUUUUGGUUUGUAUUUUACUCGAAUUCAGAGUUACAGUUGUUAUUGAUUGAUUUCGUUAUAAUAAAGGAAAAGGGGGAAAAUAUUGAUUCAUUGAUAGCAUGUGAAAAUAUGUUGAGGUCUCAGUAUGUUUAUGACCCUGCAUAAGUAGUAUAGUAACUCUAAAGGGAAACUCAUAAAAUGAAAAUAACGAUUUUUUUUCUUUUUUCUUACAAUUUCCUGGUAUUAAAUUUAGUAGCUACAUAAAUUUGUUUACCUCAUAUUUAACGUAACAACCUUGAUGGUCUUGUAGUGAAAUUGAUAAAUUGUUCCAUAUACGCUGCCUCAUUUCUCUUUUUGUUUCUUCAAUUUUUACAGAUAAUGGUUCUUGUUUCUUGCAGUACAUGUGUGUGUGUGUAUGUGUGACAUUAGUGGAAUUUUUUUUUGCAUUCUAAACUCAGGUAAAAAACUAUUGAUAGUUUGAGAAAAUGAGAAGAUAAGGAGCAUUGCCGGGUUUAGAAUUGAUAUAAUACUAAAUAAUUACAUAGGUCUCAUUUCAACCACACGAACUUGACAUAAUCAUCCAAGACAAAUUUUCCAUGAAUUCAAUUUAUAUAAAUUCACGUGAUCUACAAAGUGAGACCCAUAUCCCUAUGUUUCUAUCAAUGUCUAAUCUACUCAAUUAUUUAGUACACAUAAUACUUAGAAAAGUAAAACAUUGCAUAAUUAGAACAUAAAUAUUUUUCUUAAAUUACAACUUCUAACAAAGUCAAAGCAGUGAGCAAAACAGCAUCAAUGGGAGGUAGCGUGGAAAUAUGGAAAAUGAUUGACACGAGACAAAGAAAUCCUUGCAAGAAUGCAAUAGCAUAGUGGUUAAGAGGAUAAACAGAGUAAAAUUGGUAUGAAAACAUAUGGCAUCAGACCUUAGGUCAUAUUUUAAUUUCUACUUUUUGGAAAAUUGGUCAUAGAUUUUUUAAAAAUAAUUAACCUACAAAUGAAUUGACUUUCUAUUGUAAAUUUGUUAACUAAUUUUUUGGAGUUCUUUGUACAGUGAUUCUUUUAAAUACUUAUAUGUUGUCUCUGUAGUAUAAAUAAUAUGUCGAGCAACAGUGAGCCACCAUAUCGUUUCGUUCAACUUAUCACACUUUCUUUGGCCCAUAAUGUUCAUUUGGUAAGUGUCAAAAUGAUCUCUUUGUCAAUAUUUAUUGAUAAUGAAUAGAACUAUAUAUGAAGUAAAUAAUAUUUUCAUGGGAUUUAUGUCCUUCUUUCUAUAGUUGCUUCCUAGAUGUUUUGUGCGUUGCUUGGGACGUGAGCUCAGCUAUACAGUACUCUAAUUGGUUAUGAUGGAAUAAUUUAUACUACACAAUUGGAAAGAGUCGAUGGUAAUAUAUAUCUUGGUAUUGGAUGGCAAGAAUUCUUCGACCACAUAACUUACGAGAUGGUUUUCUUAUCGCCUUUGAAGACAAAGAAAAUUCUACUUUCGAUGUUUUGAUAUUUGACCAUUCAGGCAUAGAAAUAACGUAUGAGUCUGAUACAUUUGACAUAGAGACUUCAUGUAUUGGUAAUCAUGUCUUCUAAGUAACAUUGGAAGCUAAUCGCAAUGGUCAUAGAACAAUUGUGAGCUUCUCUUUAACUUAAAUGUUUUCCAAACUAUAUCCAACAUUGUCAUAUCUAUCGUUAUCGCUUAAUUCUAAGGUUCUACCAUUCAUAGAUUUGUUAAUUUACUUUAUAAUAUGUACCUGGGACAUUCACUAGUGUAUCGACCAUUGUUUGUCCAGAAUGUUCAAAUCCAUGAUUGUUCACAUCAUAAUUGGUUUGUGCGUGCAAAUCUGAGAACAAAUGGAUAUGUGCAAUGAUUUUCUGUAGGUUUGGCAGACUAUGUUAACGAGAAACGACUUCGAAUGGUUGACACAUGUGCCUUUGAACUUAUAAACGAUGAAGUCCCCAUGUUUAUGGUGUACAAAGUGUGCCGCGAUGAUGGAAGUUGGACCGUUACAUGAAUUGUACACUUUCACUUGUAGCUUCCCUGUUUACUUAUUAUCGAAAAUUUAUUUUCCUCUUUAUGUAUGAACAUUUUAUAACUAAAUACAUUGGAAUUUGAAUCUCUAAUUUGCCUAUUUUAUUUUUACUUCAAGUUUGUACUAAAUUCGUG
RNAcentral lists this long non-coding RNA (3878 nucleotides) under Olea europaea subsp. europaea. Lineage: Eukaryota; Viridiplantae; Streptophyta; Magnoliopsida; Lamiales; Oleaceae. The record is from RNAcentral.